UAGGAGACUUAGACAAUACAGACAUUACAAAUUAUUUAACAAAAAACAAUUUGUGUUAUCUUUUAAAACAAAAAAGUUAUAGCUUUCAUCGAAAGCAAAUAUACAUAAUAAAUAUAUAUAACUGUAAAUGCCGGAUCAAAACUGUAUUGUAUGCCCUUAAUAAACUAUUUUUUCUUUGAUAGUGAACAAAAUUUCAAUGAAAGUUUAUUAUACAACAGUGGCAAGUAACAACAUUGGCAAGUUAUUUACUUACUGAUUAUCUAGCAUAAAUAUCAAAAUAUACACAUGAAAGGACUUGUGUGAAACUUGUCAAAUUGUAGUACAAACUCUAAUUUGGUAUAAUUUUAAAGCAUGUAACAGUUCACAUCAAAAUGAAAUGUGUACCAAUUCAAAAAUAGAUGGGAUAAUAGCUUCAUGGUUUACUACCUUGUUUAAAAUUUUCAACUUACGGUAAUACAGGAUGCCAAAAUAGACAAAUCAGAAACGAAAGGAAAUUAAAAUUCCCCCUAUUAUUCAAUGAUAGUAAAAUUAUGAUAUAAUACAGUAAGGUGUGAUAAUAAGAAAACAAUUCACAAUUAUGGGACCUAAUAAUUAUCUUUUACGUUUUAUUUGUUUACCAUGAUAAAAUAGAUGACAUCAUCAUAUAAAUUGUAGUUCAUAUUUUCUGCAUUGACAGAUGAAUUAGUAGCUGUACAUAAUCGACAUAUAACUGAGUAUAUAAUUUUGUCAGAUAAAAAUGUAGGCACUGGUAACAACAAACAAUGAAUGACGACUAAAGCACUUAUCAUUUAAAAUCUAUAUAUAGCUAUAUAAUCUACUACACCAUACAUAUAAAUACACUGCACUUAAUUAAACAAUGUAUGUAAUACACAUAUAUUUUGUCACUGGUAUGUACAUUUUUGUAAUUAUUUAUACUAUAUCAAUCUAACCUGUUUCAGCACUAUUUUCAAACUGCAGAAACUGAUAUCAACUUUUUUA
This 978-nucleotide long non-coding RNA is filed under the name Mytilus galloprovincialis (Mediterranean mussel). Lineage: Eukaryota; Metazoa; Mollusca; Bivalvia; Mytilida; Mytilidae. The record is from RNAcentral.